CGUGUAUGCGGUUUUUUAAGUCUGAUGUGAAAGCCCCGGGCUUAACCUGGGAAGUGCAUUGGAAACUGGAAGACUUGAGUACGGGAGAGGAAAGCGGAAUUUCGAGUGUAGGGGUGAAAUCCGUAGAUAUUCGAAGGAACACCAGUGGCGAAGGCGGCUUUCUGGACCGAUACUGACGCUGAGACGCGAGAGCGUGGGGAGCAAACAGGAUUAGAUACCCUGGUAGUCC
Molecule: ribosomal RNA, 229 nt
Filed under: uncultured bacterium
Lineage: Bacteria
Description: partial 16S ribosomal RNA
Rfam family: Bacterial small subunit ribosomal RNA
Source: RNAcentral